Molecule: long non-coding RNA, 920 nt
Organism: Salvelinus sp. IW2-2015
Lineage: Eukaryota; Metazoa; Chordata; Actinopteri; Salmoniformes; Salmonidae
Source: RefSeq, a predicted model, not a curated record
UUACAGGCAGUUGCAACAGCGCAACUUUAGAUCAUUAGAACCCAUUCGCCAAAAGCCACAAAAUACACCUGAAUUUCUGCAAAUAUGCAAACACAACGGGAGUCCUCUUACAUCUGUGAACUUUACAGUCCUAUUGACCAAACAACCAUGAAAAGAUGUCUAAAAAGACGCAUAAGCCCCACAAGGGAGUGGAUAUCCUGCUAGCAGACAUUUGCCACUGUAGAGGCAGUUUAGGUGGUAUGACCUCUUUCAGAAGUUCAUUAAGCAAAGGUUUUGGGGGCUCAUGUGUCUGCUGCAAGACCAAACCAUAACUUGGCAAGGAAGCCUGCUCAGACACAAGAUGUCCGUAGCCCGGCCAAGUUGUCUACAGCUUCUGUGAGUGCCCCUACCCAUGCUAUGGCCUCUGUGAGUGCCCCUACCCAUGCUAUGGCCUCUCCCGGCUACAGGCCUCUGUGAAGACCAUCUCGCCUUUGUCCCAUACCACCUCUGCUACAGACUUUGUGAAGACCACCACUGUCUCUGUUGUCUCUCAGUGCACCGCUAGCUCUGCUAUAGCCUCUAAGAGGAACUUCAGUACAUAACACACUGUCAUUUCUUAACAAAUAUCAUUACAUCCACUAAAACAAGACAGAAACAAAACUAUGUGUCAGUGUUUUGAUUUGAUGAAGAUAUUGUGAGUAAUCAAAUUAAUCUAUUUUUGUCUUGUUUUGCAUUCUGUUGUCUUUUUCUUUUUCAGGAGAGCUGAUUGGUGUGUGAACUACCUGCUCAGGCAGACUGGGAAAGCCAUGCAGGACAUGAACCCCGACUCGGAGGAGACUGAUUCAAUGAAAUUAUGUUGGACCAACGUGGAAUAGAUGUUGAUUUGACGUCUGUGCCCAGUGGGCUAUUAUCCCUACCACGUUAGAAGUUCAAAACGGCAA